RNAcentral lists this ribosomal RNA (497 nucleotides) under uncultured bacterium. RNAcentral's name for it is "partial 16S ribosomal RNA". It matches the Rfam family "Bacterial small subunit ribosomal RNA", at positions 28 to 507 of the family's 1533-position model. The record is from RNAcentral.
GAUGAACGCUGGCGGCGUGCCUAAUACAUGCAAGUCGAGCGAACAGACGAGGAGCUUGCUCCUCUGACGUUAGCGGCGGACGGGUGAGUAACACGUGGAUAACCUACCUAUAAGACUGGGAUAACUUCGGGAAACCGGAGCUAAUACCGGAUAAUAUAUUGAACCGCAUGGUUCAAUAGUGAAAGACGGUUUUGCUGUCACUUAUAGAUGGAUCCGCGCCGCAUUAGCUAGUUGGUAAGGUAACGGCUUACCAAGGCGACGAUGCGUAGCCGACCUGAGAGGGUGAUCGGCCACACUGGAACUUGGACACGGUCCAGACUCCUACGGGAGGCAGCAGUAGGGAAUCUUCCGCAAUGGGCGAAAGCCUGACGGAGCAACGCCGCGUGAGUGAUGAAGGUCUUCGGAUCGUAAAACUCUGUUAUUAGGGAAGAACAAAUGUGUAAGUAACUAUGCACGUCUUGACGGUACCUAAUCAGAAAGCCACGGCUAACUACGUG